GUUUGAUUAUGACUCCAGAUUGAACGCUGGCGGGAUGCUUUAUACCGUCGAACGGCAACACGGACUUCGGUCUGGUGGCGAGUGGCGAACGGGUGAGUAUUAACCUCGGAGACGUGCCUAGUAGCGGGGAUAACUACGCAGCGUGGCUAAUACCGCAUACGCCCUUCAGGGAAAGCGGGGGACCUUCGGGCCUCGCACUAUUAGAACGGCCCGAUAUCGGAUUAGCUAGUUGAUUGGGUAACGGCUCACCAAGGCGACGAUCAAUAGCUGGUUUGAGAGGACGACCAGCCACACUGGGACUACGGAACCACGGCCCAGACUCCUACAGGAGAGCAGCAGUGGGGGAAUUUUGGACAAUGGGAAACCCUGAUCCAGCCAUCCCGCGGCAAUGUGCGAUCAGAGCCUUCGGGUUUGUAGCCCUUUUGGCAGGAAAGAAACGGCACGGGAUAAUACCCCAUUCGCUGACAGUACCUGCAGAAUAAGCACCGGCUAACUACAUUUUCCAGCAGCCGCGGUAAUACGUAGGGUGCAAGCGUUAAUCGGAAUUACUGGGCGUAAAGCGUGCGCAGGCGGUUCGGAAAGAAAGAUGUGAAAUCCCAAGAGCUUAACUUUGGAACUGCAUUUUUAACUACCGAGCUACGAAGUGUGUCAGAGGGAGGUGGAAUUCCGCGUGUAGCAGUGAAAGUAAGUAAGUAUGCGGAGGAACACCGAUGGCGAAGGCAGCCUCACGGGAUAACACUGACGCUCAUGCACGUGGGGAGCAAACAGGAUUAGAUACCCUGGUGGUCCACGCCCUAAACGAUGUCAACUAGCUGUUGGGGCCUUCGGGCCUUGGUAGCGCAACUAGCGUGAAGUUGACCGCCUGGGAGUACGGUCGCAAGAUUAAAACUCAAAGAAUUGACGGGAACCCGCACAAGCGGUGGAUGAUGUGGAUUAAUUCACAACGCGAAAAGCCUUACCUACCCUUGACGUCUGGAAUCGAGAUUUGCGGAGUGCUCGCAAGAGAACCGGAACACAGGUGCUGCAUGGCUUUUGUCGUCAGCUCGUGCCGGUAAGAGAUGUUAGGUUAGGGUCCGCAACGAGCGCAGCCCUUGUCAUUAGUUACCACGAAGGGCACUCUGGCGAGACUGCCGGUGACAGGAAACCGGAGGAAGGUGAAAGGGACAGCGUCCAGUCCUCCCAUGGCCCUUAUGGGUAGGGCUUCACACGUCAUACAAUGGUCGGGACAGAGGGUCGCCAACCCGCGAGGGGGAGCAAUCCGAAAGCUGAUCGUAGUCCGGAUCGCAGUCUGCAACUCGACUGCGUGAAGUCGGAAUCGCUAAUAAUCGCGGAUCAGCAUGUCGCGGUGAAUACGUUCGGGUCUUGUACACACCGCCCGUCACACCAUAGGGGAGUGGGUUUUACCAAGUAGUUAGCCUAACCGGAGGCGAUUACUACGGUAGGAUUCAUGACUGGGGUGAAGUCGUAACAAGGUAG
This 1476-nucleotide ribosomal RNA is filed under the name uncultured Bordetella sp. Its description in RNAcentral is "partial 16S-23S ribosomal RNA intergenic spacer". It matches the Rfam family "Bacterial small subunit ribosomal RNA". The record is from RNAcentral. Lineage: Bacteria; Pseudomonadati; Pseudomonadota; Betaproteobacteria; Burkholderiales; Alcaligenaceae.